GCAAAGAUAAAAACACAGAGUAUGCCAUAAGGCAUACGGAGCCGGUUGGUAGUCCGGCCGGAAGCAUACCUCAAAGGUCUGCUUUCAAGUAACCCUCCUCCUUGGUCGUCCGUUCUUUGUUC
Molecule: non-coding RNA, 122 nt
Filed under: uncultured Eisenbergiella sp.
Lineage: Bacteria; Bacillati; Bacillota; Clostridia; Lachnospirales; Lachnospiraceae
Description: yjdF RNA
Rfam family: azaaromatic riboswitch aptamer (yjdF RNA)
Source: RNAcentral